Molecule: ribosomal RNA, 468 nt
Filed under: uncultured bacterium
Lineage: Bacteria
Description: partial 16S ribosomal RNA
Rfam family: Bacterial small subunit ribosomal RNA
Source: RNAcentral
GACGAACGCUGGCGGCGUGCUUAACACAUGCAAGUCGAACGGAAAGGCCCUGCUUUUGUGGGGUGCUCGAGUGGCGAACGGGUGAGUAACACGUGAGUAACCUGCCCUUGACUUUGGGAUAACUUCAGGAAACUGGGGCUAAUACCGGAUAGGAGCUCCUGCUGCAUGGUGGGGGUUGGAAAGUUUCGGCGGUUGGGGAUGGACUCGCGGCUCAUCAGCUUGUUGGUGGGGUAGUGGCUUACCAAGGCUUUGACGGGUAGCCGGCCUGAGAGGGUGACCGGCCACAUUGGGACUGAGAUACGGCCCAGACUCCUACGGGAGGCAGCAGUGGGGAAUAUUGCACAAUGGGCGGAAGCCGGAUGCAGCAACGCCGCGUGCGGGAUGACGGCCUUCGGGUUGUAAACCGCUUUCGCCUGUGACGAAGCGUGAGUGACGGUAAUGGGUAAAGAAGCACCGGCUAACUACGUG